ACAUGGGUGGUUCAGUGGCAGAAUUCUUACCUGCCAUGCAGGAGGCCCAGGUUCAAUUCCCGGCCCAUGCA
Transfer RNA from Loxodonta africana (African savanna elephant), 71 nucleotides. It matches the Rfam family "tRNA". Rfam says of the family: Transfer RNA (tRNA) molecules are approximately 80 nucleotides in length. The record is from Rfam. Lineage: Eukaryota; Metazoa; Chordata; Mammalia; Proboscidea; Elephantidae.